Ribosomal RNA from Bathycoccus prasinos, 682 nucleotides. It matches the Rfam family "Bacterial small subunit ribosomal RNA", at positions 874 to 1520 of the family's 1533-position model. NCBI's taxonomy places the organism in Eukaryota, Viridiplantae, Chlorophyta, Mamiellophyceae, Mamiellales, Bathycoccaceae. The record is from Rfam.
UGGGGACUACGGCCGCAAGGCUAAAACCCAAAGGAAUUGACGGGGGCUUACACAAGCGGUGGAGCAUGUGGUUUAAUUCGAAACAACGCGCAAAACCUUACCAAUCCUUGACAUAUGAAAAACCAGGGUGUUUACCCGCUCUGUCUCUUUUAUACAGGUGCUGCAUGGCUGUCGUCAGUUCGUGGUGUGAGCUGUUGGGUUAAGUCCCAGAACGAACGCAACCCUCCUUUGAAAUGAAGGUUUACCUUUUUCAAAGACUGCCAAGGAUAUCUUGGAGGAAGGUGAGGAUGACGUCAAGUCCGCAUGGCCCUUAUGGGUUGGGCUACACACGUGCUACAAUGGGAAUGACAAAAGGAGGCAACAUGGCAACAUUGAGCAAAUCCCAAAAAGUUUCCUUAGUUCGGAUUGUUCUCUGCAACUCGAGAACAUGAAGUUGGAAUCGCUAGUAAUCGUAGAUCAGCACGCUACGGUGAAUUUGUAUCUAAGCCUUGUACACACCGCCCGUCACACUCUGAAAAUUUUCAUGCCUUGAAGCAAAAGAAGUUCACCAAGAACACACAGCGCAAUUAAAAAAAAAACAUCUUCCCUUUUUUUUCUGUGUCUUUGUUGGAACCUUUUCUAGAGUUAGGGAGGUGAUUGGAGUGAAGUCGUAACAAGGUAGCUGUAGGGGAACCUGUAGCUG